This is a long non-coding RNA of Corapipo altera (White-ruffed manakin), 97 nucleotides long. RefSeq lists it as uncharacterized. The transcript has 3 exons. Lineage: Eukaryota; Metazoa; Chordata; Aves; Passeriformes; Pipridae. The record is from RefSeq and is a predicted model, not a curated record.
GGCUGCUUAAUGUAGAAUAAUAUAGUAAUUCCCCUUGAGCAGAGGAUGUUCUUUAGAUGGAGAAGUCAUACCCCCACUUCUGAAGAGCACACCUCUG